CGACCGAUAGUCGGGUCUCGCCAACCCGACGAAUCCAAAAGUUACCCCGACAACAGACUCCGAGGUCGGCACGCCCCAGGUAUGACUCCUACACUCCUCUCUCUGCCCCUCGUGCACAGAUUCUAAUGGAGAUCGAGGGGGAAGAAUACCUGCGACGGCCUCCGCCUCUGAAGGCAAAAGGCCUCGACCGUCGGAAGUACUGUCGAUUUCACCGAGGCCACGGCCACAACACCGAGCAGUGCAUCCAGCUGAAGGAUGAGAUCGAAG
Molecule: long non-coding RNA, 267 nt
Filed under: Elaeis guineensis (African oil palm)
Lineage: Eukaryota; Viridiplantae; Streptophyta; Magnoliopsida; Arecales; Arecaceae
Description: long non-coding RNA (EGUI_LNC025041)
Source: RNAcentral